GCAGCACCUUGGAUAGAUAGCCACAACUUUAUCGCACAAAAAGAUAAUUAUUAAUUGACUCGUAGUGUUAACGAACCAAAUUCAAUAAAUUACACAAGCUUGCCAUGAGAAAACGAACCUGUGGAAUACAGUGAGAUGGAAUUUUUGAAUUUGGAACUUAAAAAUUCAACGGAAAAUGAUUUUGAAGAAAUUUCUCAAUCCACUGCUAUCUCCUCGGAUAAUGCCUCUUCAACUCCUCGAAGUACUAAAAAGAAAACAGGACAGAAAUUUUGAACAUGUAUUUGAAAAAAUCGAGAAAUUAGAACAUAAGGAAGAACAAGGAAAAAGGCAUUAAAUUCGGCUGGGCCGAACUUUGGAUACCCACCACCUCGGGUAUAUAUGUAAACCCCAUUUCGUCACAAUCCAAUAAAAAUUGGAUAACUUAAGCAUCCAAAUUCGGCACGGACAUUGAGUUGUCUAAUAUAUAUACCACUA
Molecule: long non-coding RNA, 474 nt
Organism: Stomoxys calcitrans (stable fly)
Lineage: Eukaryota; Metazoa; Arthropoda; Insecta; Diptera; Muscidae
Exons: 2
Source: RefSeq, a predicted model, not a curated record